UCUCAAAGAUUAAGCCAUGCAUGUCUAAGUUCACACCCUCGUACGGUGAAACCGCGAAUGGCUCAUUAAAUCAGUCGAGGUUCCUUAGAUGAUCCAUUUCUACUUGGAUAACUGUGGUAAUUCUAGAGCUAAUACAUGCCCAACAGCUCCGACCCCGGGCUUCGCGGUUCGGGGAAAGAGCGCUUUUAUUAGUUCAAAACCAGUCGGGGGUUUCGGCCCUCGUGCUUUGGUGACUCUGGAUAACUUUGAGCCGAUCGCAUGGCCUCGAGCCGGCGACGCAUCUUUCAAAUGUCUGCCCUAUCAAAUGACGACGGUACGUGAUCUGCCUACCGUGUUGACUACGGGUAGCGGGGAAUCAGGGUUCGAUUCCGGAGAGGGAGCAUGAGAAACGGCUACCACAUCCNAGGA
RNAcentral lists this ribosomal RNA (408 nucleotides) under Bellamya dispiralis. RNAcentral describes it as "SSU rRNA". It matches the Rfam family "Eukaryotic small subunit ribosomal RNA", at positions 35 to 422 of the family's 1831-position model. The record is from RNAcentral. Lineage: Eukaryota; Metazoa; Mollusca; Gastropoda; Architaenioglossa; Viviparidae.